GUCUGGGUGGCUCAGUGGGUUAAGUGUCUGACUUCGGCUCAGGUUACGGUCUCACGGUCUGCGGGUUCGAGCCCCGCGUCGGGCU
Felis catus (domestic cat) is the source of this 85-nucleotide non-coding RNA. The record is from Rfam. Lineage: Eukaryota; Metazoa; Chordata; Mammalia; Carnivora; Felidae.